GGGCUCCAGACAACCAGAGCUACAUUUUGAGACCCUGUCUUGAAAACAAAACAAAACAAAACAAAACAAAACAAAACAGUGGGUUAGCGUGCCUGCCACCAAGAUUGACAACUUGAAUUCAAUUCCUGGAGCCAAGGACACUAGACUUCUCUGCUAAAAGGCACAGAAGCCAUCGACCUUGUGUGUUGUUAACAUGGUCCCCACUGGUUCCUUCCAAAGUGGAGCUCUGGGAGGCAGUUUGGUUUUUGCCUAUAGAGACACCUACAAAAUGGUGUGUUUUGGGUUUCUCUCUUACUUUCUUUUAAUUUCUCUCUCUCCUUUUCUCUCUUCUUUCUUAAAUUUUCUUUGAACUUCUUUAAUUUUCUUCUUCCAUUACUUUCUGUGUGGGGGAACUCAAGAUUUUAGAUAGACUGCAGCUGUUAGCCCUGGUACUGUUAGCAAGAGAUUGCGCCUCUUGGAGGAAAAAGGAAAAGCCAAGGACGGGGAGGGGCGGGGGAGGGGGGAUGAUGAUCAAUGCACUCGAUUCAAUGCAGGGAGGGGCUCCCUCUUCUAGUCGAGGCUGCAGACACACAAGUGUUAUUCUGUCCGUUGAAGUUUUUUAGUUCUUUGUGUUCUUUUCUGACUACUUGAGAAAGCCAUUAAGAAAAGAGAUAUAUGCAUUGGCCGGGAACCGAACCCGGGCCUCCCGCGUGGCAGGCGAGAAUUCUACCACUGAACCACCAAUGCCUUACUGUAAAAGUGGCCUUUCCUGGCUGAGUUCAGUCUCUGAGGGUCUAGCUCACGAAGCAUCGUUAUUCCUGAAAUCCUGCACCUGGAGCUCUGGAUGGAUACAACAUCGUUCGUAUCUGACCUAAGUUGUUGAGGAGAAAUGCGUGCCCUCUCCGCUUUGACCUCCUGCGCCUGCCGGCUUUUUCAUCUUCCUACCGGCCGGAAUCCGAAGCAGCCCUGAGUGUCCUCAACCGCCCACCCAGACCGCCAGAAGCCAGGAAGCAGAGGGUGGAUGAAAGCAAAAGGACCCCUCUACUUAUCAAUCAGGUGCCAGCCAAGAGCCGGAGGACCCACCUAAGUACAGAGGUCAAGAACACCUACAACACUCACAAGGCCUGCAGGAAGGGUCAUGUGCCCCUGAGGCAGAUAAAGUACCAGACCGAGGAGUUGGAUUCCAUCCGGAGGGAGCUGAGCAAGAUCAAAGCCCAGGUGGACAGCCUGUUGAAGAGUCUGGAGUCCAUGGAGCAGGAGACAGACCAGCACGUGGGGCAGGUGAAGAAUCCAGCAUCGGACUAGUGUAGCCAGUAGGAGGUGGGAAACCUUCCAGACUUUGUUCAGCUGGUACUUAAGUGGCCUGUUUUCUUGCCUUGUAUUUUUGGAAGUCACUCCCUUGAAACUUGAAGUCACCUUUCUGGCGCUUGGGCAUUGAAAGUGCUGAAGUGCUGGCGUUGGUGGCGCACGCCUUUGAUCCCAGCACUCAGGAGGCAGAGGCAGGCAGAUUUCUGGGUUCGAGGCCAGCCUGGACUACAGAGUGAGUUCCAGGACAGCCAGGGCUACACAGAGAAACCCUGUCUCAAAAAAAAAAAAAAAAAAAAAAAAGUGCUGAAGCACCCAGGAAACCUCCCAGUGGUUGUGGAUUUAACUCCUGAGGUCUUUUCCAUGAGUCCUGCUGAGGGCAGGGUAGGGAAGCCCCAUAGAUUAGCAGUAUAGUAUCUCUUUAUUUUCAUUCAACUGUGGUGGUCUUGCAGGAGGCACCUGACAGGGCCCUGAACCCAGUGAACACUGUUGGCUCUCACAAAAUGAAGGUUGCUUCCUUGCCCACGCACCACUAAACUUGGUAGUGUGUCAAUUUUUCUGCAGCCACAGUAGUGAAACACACUUGCAUCCCUACAGUGACACCAAGCUGUAAGGUUGUGUGUGCUAACCUAACCAACCUCUUGUGCUGGGAUUAAAGGCGUGUACCACCACCA
Mus musculus (house mouse) is the source of this 1958-nucleotide RNA transcript. It is a transcript of the gene named predicted gene, 38523, with no coding region annotated. The transcript is spliced from 4 exons. NCBI's taxonomy places the organism in Eukaryota, Metazoa, Chordata, Mammalia, Rodentia, Muridae. The record is from RefSeq and is a predicted model, not a curated record.